Molecule: small nuclear RNA, 23 nt
Filed under: Arabidopsis thaliana (thale cress)
Lineage: Eukaryota; Viridiplantae; Streptophyta; Magnoliopsida; Brassicales; Brassicaceae
Description: snRNA_14547
Source: RNAcentral
UUGGAGAUGAGACUUGCUUGUAA